Molecule: ribosomal RNA, 388 nt
Filed under: uncultured bacterium
Lineage: Bacteria
Description: bacterial SSU rRNA
Rfam family: Bacterial small subunit ribosomal RNA
Source: RNAcentral
AAUCAACGCUGGCGGCGUGCCUCAGACAUGCAAGUCGAACGAUUAAAGCUCUCUUCGGAGAGUGCAUAGAGUGGCGCACGGGUGAGUAACACGUAAGUAAUCUACCUUCGAGUGGGGAAUAACAGUCGGAAACGACUGCUAAUACCGCAUAAUGCAGCGGCAUCGCAAGAUGACAGUUGUUAAAGGAGCAAUUCGCUUGAAGAGGAGCUUGCGGCAGAUUAGCUAGUUGGUAAGGUAAUGGCUUACCAAGGCUACGAUCUGUAUCCGGUCUAAGAGGACGGUCGGACACACUGACACUGAAUAACGGGUCAGACUCCUACGGGAGGCAGCAGUCGGGAAUUUUGGGCAAUGGGCGAAAGCCUGACCCAGCAACGCCGCGUGAAGGAUG